This 253-nucleotide ribosomal RNA is filed under the name uncultured bacterium. RNAcentral's name for it is "partial 16S ribosomal RNA". It matches the Rfam family "Bacterial small subunit ribosomal RNA", at positions 524 to 776 of the family's 1533-position model. The record is from RNAcentral.
UACGGGGGGGGCAAGCGUUGUUCGGAAUUACUGGGCGUAAAGGGUUCGUAGGUGGCUUGUUAAGUCAGACGUGAAAUCCCUCAGCUUAACUGGGGAACUGCGUCUGAGACUGGUGAGCUUGAGUGCAGGAGAGGAACGCGGAAUUCCAGGUGUAGCGGUGAAAUGCGUAGAUAUCUGGAGGAACACCGGUGGCGAAGGCGGCGUUCUGGACUGCAACUGACACUGAUGAGCGAAAGCCAGGGGAGCAAACGGG